This 410-nucleotide ribosomal RNA is filed under the name bacterium. RNAcentral's name for it is "partial 16S ribosomal RNA". It matches the Rfam family "Bacterial small subunit ribosomal RNA", at positions 355 to 776 of the family's 1533-position model. The record is from RNAcentral.
UGGGGAAUUUUGCACAAUGGGCGGAAGCCUGAUGCAGCGACGCCGUGUGGGGGAUGAAGGCCUUCGGGUUGUAAACUCCUUUCGUCAGGGACGAAGUUUGUUUGACGGUACCUGGAUAAGAAGCACCGGCUAACUACGUGCCAGCAGCCGCGGUAAUACGUAGGGUGCGAGCGUUGUCCGGAUUUACUGGGCGUAAAGGGCUCGUAGGUGGUGUGUUGCGUCGUCUGUGUAAUCCAGGGGCUUAACUUUUGGUUGGACGGCGAUACGUGCAUUGCUUGAGUGCUGUAGGGGAGACUGGAAUUCCUGGUGUAGCGGUGAAAUGCGCAGAUAUCAGGAGGAACACCGAUGGCGAAGGCAGGUCUCGGGGCAGUUACUGACGCUGAGGAGCGAGAGCAUGGGUAGCGAACAGG